This 356-nucleotide ribosomal RNA is filed under the name Myurella affinis. Its description in RNAcentral is "partial 12S ribosomal RNA". The record is from RNAcentral. Lineage: Eukaryota; Metazoa; Mollusca; Gastropoda; Neogastropoda; Terebridae.
ACCGGAGUACUAUGAAUAUUUAAAACAUUUAAAACUUAAAGAACUUGGCGGUGUUUUAGACCACUUAGGGGAACCUGUCUCGUAAUCGACAAUCCGCGUUAAACCUGACCUUUUCUUGUUAUCAGUUUGUAUACCGUUGUCGUCAGGUAACUUUUUAGAAAUUAGAAGUUAGCGAUAAAAGCAAUUUAAUGACUUAGGACGUCAAAUCAAGGUGCAGCUAACGAAAAGGGGAGGAUGGGUUACAAUUAUUUGAUUUAUAAUAACGGACGAACAACAUGAAUAUGUUUCAAAUUAUAAGGUGGACUUGAAAGUAAAUUAGAUUAUAUAGAUAGUUUGAAUAAGGCUCUGAAACGUGU